GCAGAGCAUCCUACGGGAGGCAGCAGUGGGGAAUAUUGCACAAUGGGCGCAAGCCUGAUGCAGCCAUGCCGCGUGUAUGAAGAAGGCCUUCGGGUUGUAAAGUACUUUCAGCAGUGAGGAAGGUGGAUAUGUUAAUAGCAUAUUCAUUUGACGUUUAGCUGCAGAAGAAGCACCGGCUAACUCCGUGCCAGCAGCCGCGGUAAUACGGAGGGUGCGAGCGUUAAUCGGAAUUACUGGGCGUAAAGCGCAUGCAGGUGGUUUGUUAAGUCAGAUGUGAAAGCCCGGGGCUCAACCUCGGAAUUGCAUUUGAAACUGGCAAACUAGAGUACUGUAGAGGGGGUAGAAUUUCAGGUGUAGCGGUGAAAUGCGUAGAGAUCUGAAGGAAUACCGGUGGCGAAGGCGGCCCCCUGGACAGAUACUGACACUCAGAUGCGAAAGCGUGGGGAGCAAACAGGAUUAGAUACCCUGGUAG
RNAcentral lists this ribosomal RNA (472 nucleotides) under uncultured bacterium. RNAcentral describes it as "bacterial SSU rRNA". It matches the Rfam family "Bacterial small subunit ribosomal RNA", at positions 329 to 793 of the family's 1533-position model. The record is from RNAcentral.